AGCGGUAAGGCCCUUCGGGGUACACGAGCGGCGAACGGGUGAGUAACACGUGGGUGAUCUGCCUUGCACUUCGGGAUAAGCCUGGGAAACCGGGUCUAAUACCGGAUAUGACCACUGAUCGCAUGGUUGGUGGUGGAAAGAUUUAUCGGUGCGAGAUGGGCCCGCGGCCUAUCAGCUUGUUGGUGAGGUAACGGCUCACCAAGGCGACGACGGGUAGCCGACCUGAGAGGGUGACCGGCCACACUGGGACUGAGACACGGCCCAGACUCCUACGGGAGGCAGCAGUGGGGAAUAUUGCACAAUGGGCGAAAGCCUGAUGCAGCGACGCCGCGUGCGGGAUGACGGCCUUCGGGUUGUAAACCGCUUUUGACAGGGACGAAGCGCAAGUGACUGUACCUGUAGAAUAAGGACCGGCCAACUACGUGCCAGCAGCCGCGGUAAUACGUAGGGUCCGAGCGUUGUCCGGAAUUACUGGGCGUAAAGAGCUUGUAGGCGGUUCGUCGCGUCGUUUGUGAAAACUUGGGGCUCAACCUUAAGCUUGCAGGCGAUACGGGCGGACUAGAGUACUUCAGGGGAGACUGGAAUUCCUGGUGUAGCGGUGAAAUGCGCAGAUAUCAGGAGGAACACCGGUGGCGAAGGCGGGUCUCUGGGAAGUAACUGACGCUGAGAAGCGAAAGCAUGGGUAGCAAACAGGAUUAGAUACCCUGGUAGUCCAUGCCGUAAACGGUGGGUACUAGGUGUGGGGCUCCUUCCACGGACUCCGUGCCGUAGCUAACGCAUUAAGUACCCCGCCUGGGGAGUACGGCCGCAAGGCUAAAACUCAAAGAAAUUGACGGGGGCCCGCACAAGCGGCGGAGCAUGUGGAUUAAUUCGAUGCAACGCGAAGAACCUUACCUGGGUUUGACAUACACCGGAAACCUGCAGAGAUGUAGGCCCCCUUGUGGUCGGUGUACAGGUGGUGCAUGGCUGUCGUCAGCUCGUGUCGUGAGAUGUUGGGUUAAGUCCCGCAACGAGCGCAACCCUUAUCUUAUGUUGCCAGCGCGUAAUGGCGGGGACUCGUGAGAGACUGCCGGGGUCAACUCGGAGGAAGGUGGGGACGACGUCAAGUCAUCAUGCCCCUUAUGUCCAGGGCUUCACACAUGCUACAAUGGCCGGUACAGAGGGCUGCGAUACCGCGAGGUGGAGCGAAUCCCUUAAAGCCGGUCUCAGUUCGGAUCGGGGUCUGCAACUCGACCCCGUGAAGUUGGAGUCGCUAGUAAUCGCAGAUCAGCAACGCUGCGGUGAAUACGUUCCCGGGCCUUGUACACACCGCCCGUCACGUCAUGAAAGUCGGUAACACCCGAAGCCGGUGGCCUAACCCCUUG
RNAcentral lists this ribosomal RNA (1364 nucleotides) under Nocardia sp. FXJ1.009. Its description in RNAcentral is "bacterial SSU rRNA". It matches the Rfam family "Bacterial small subunit ribosomal RNA". Lineage: Bacteria; Bacillati; Actinomycetota; Actinomycetes; Mycobacteriales; Nocardiaceae. The record is from RNAcentral.